This is a long non-coding RNA of Hyla sarda, 881 nucleotides long. RefSeq lists it as uncharacterized. NCBI's taxonomy places the organism in Eukaryota, Metazoa, Chordata, Amphibia, Anura, Hylidae. The transcript is spliced from 3 exons. The record is from RefSeq and is a predicted model, not a curated record.
CUUGCCAGCGUGUACUGAGAGUGAGAAAUUGAUUGUAUUGUGCGUAAAUUGUGUGAAAAAAACAAUGUCUGGAAUGAGAGAAAUUGUGUCUGUGGUGUCUGGGAGAGACGAUGGUGAGGAUGAGCGUGCUGUUGUGGAUGUGAGUGAUAGAGCAUGUGUGAGAGAGCGUGCGGAUGAUGUGUCUGAGUGUAGUGGUGGCGUGGAGAGGAGAGGAGAGAAGAGGAGGAGUAAAGUCCGAGCAGGUCCAAUCGCAAGACAAAGUGGUUGGACAAUAUCGGACUCUGGCAGUGGCAGCCACACAUCUGAGUCUGAGAGUCUGCACUCAAUGCGAGUCCACCAGCCAAAAAACAAAGAGGGACGAAAUUCACGGAGGCAGAGAACGUAGCACUGGUGGCUGCUGUUAGCACAGAAAAAUCUGUGUUAUUCAACACGACAGUGGGCACCCAGGAGAAGAUGGCCGCCUGGAGCCGGGUGAGGGAGAAAGUGUCCCAAGUUGGAAGAGGCACAGCGGACAGGACAGUUCUCAGCAUCAGGCAUCGGUACUAUGACUGCAGGGCAUCAGUAGUCAAAAAACGUCAACUUCAAGAACUGGGAGCUGGAAUUGAAGAAGCACCUCCUGCCAGAGGCUCAGACAUCCGAGGCAGAGAGAUCUGAUCAACAAGGCCAGGCUUCAUUAAGGAGUCACCAUGACAGUUCCCCACCAUCACCUGUCCUGUCACAAUUGGAGAGCUGGAGGGACGUUGAGGCAGAUGAUAAUGUGCCAGUACCUGAGGAGGACAUGGGCCAACCCCUGAGCUCAGCUGCCUGUUCACCAGCUAUCCCCAGUCCACUAUCUCCAACCCCAGCACCCGCAUCUGUCCCAAUGGACACGUACCUUAGGG